AGCUGCGACAGAGGGAGGCCUGGUGUUAAAAGCAGAACUACUGGCUACAAAGGCCCCUUUGCCGACCUCCUCCUGCAGUCCUGGAGAAGGGACAGAUCAGCUUCAAGGCGGAUGAAUGGCCACCCUAGCUGGAUCUUUCUUGGCUAAUUUGAAAGUUCACUAGAGCGCUUUGGAACAGUGACUGGUUUGAUCAGUAGUUUCCAUCCCCCAAACUGGGUCACAGCCAAGGAGAAAGGCUCCCCAGAUCCCUAGUCUCUCCUCACCCGCUCAACCGAGUGUCCAGGCUCCACCCCCACUCCAGCUCCAUUUCGGAAAGCUACCUGCCUGUCUUGGAUUGUCACUGUGCCAGUCCCCUGCAAUGGAAAAGCCUGGCCUUGGGCAGCGCUGGGAAGGAAGAGAGCAGCUUGCCGGGGUCUGCAAUGCCUAACGUGUGCGGGGAGAAGAGCUGACACGAGAGGCAAGGCUGGGAGACGCUCUUCAGAGAUGGCAAACCUGUCCCAUAGGCAGAGCCAGAUGGGAAAGGAUAGCAGUUCCAAGCCCUCCGAAUGCCAUUUCCCAGUUGUUUCACUCAGUAUCCACAGUUCUCAGGAGCCAAGGCUGGGCACCUAGCAGGAGGCCCAUCCGUCACCUCAGUGCUGCCAUUUGAGCUAAAUUGGUCAUUUCGGGGUGAUCAAAAGGCCUUCUGGAGGGCCAGUAGCAGAUGAAUACCUAGACUCCCCUGGGAUCAGGGUUUCUCUGGGUCCCAAUCACACAGGGAACAAGAAUGCAUAGAUCCUAUAUUUUCAUUCAUUCAUUCAUUCAUUCAUUCGUUCGUUCGUUCGUUCGUUCGUUCGUUCGUUCAUUCAUUUGUAUUUAUUGAGCACUUACUGUGAGUAGAGCACUAUACUAAGCACUGUCAGAGUACAAUACAACAAUAAGCAGACACAUUCCCUGCCCACAAUGAUCUUAAUAUAAAUGAAUAAAUAAAUUGUAUAUGUAUAUAAGUGCCGUGAGGCUGGGAGGGGGAAUGAAUAAAGGGAACAAGUCAGGGUGACGCAGAAAGGAGUGGGAGAAGAGGAAAGGAGGGCUUAGGGAAAGCCUCUUGGAGGAGAUGUGCUCCAUCCCAUUUUUCUCCUAGUGACAUUAUUUACUCUGUGCCAAGCACUGUCCUGAGUGCCAGGAUGGCUGCAAGAUCACCAGAAAGGACUUGGGGUUUAUAAUCUAAGAGUGGGGAGAGCAGGUAAUUUUCCCUAUUUACAAUUGAGGAACUGAAGUACAGAUGGUUUAAGUGACUCGUCCCAGGACACACAGCAGCAGAACUGGGACAAGAAACCCUGGUCUUCUGACUCCCAGUUCCACAUUUUUUCCAAGAGACCAAAUUCUCCAGGAGGUAGGGACCAAGGAGGUGGGCCUCAAUGAUGAUAGAUGAAAGAGGAAUUGGUCCUGCACAAAGAAUUGCCUUUUGUGCUCUGUGGAGCCCAGUUGUCCAUGAUGGGGAGUAGACAGGGCAAUGGAGAAGCAGGGAUGGGCUGACAGAGUUCUGUCCUGCCAGAAGUCAUCAGGAGGGCUUCCUUUGCCCCUCUGCAUUAGAUACUGCGAUGUGAAAUGGCACUAAGGAGCUUGGUGAAAGGGUUGACCAGCUGUUGCUGUUGCAGUGAAGUGGCUGUGUGAUAGAACAUGGGGGCAGAGAGGACAGGUGCUUUGUAAGAAGAGGGUGGUCUAGUGGAAAGAUCGUGGGCUAGGGAGUCGGAGGACCCGGGUCUUAAUCCUGGCUCUGACACUUGCCUGCUGUGUGUACUUGGGCAAGUCACUUAACUUCUCUGUGUCUCAAUUUCCUCAACUAUAAAAUGAGAACUCAGUGCCCAUUCUCUUUUUUAUGAUGCUUGUUAAGUGCUUACUAUGUGCCAGGCACUGAAUUAAAUGCUGGGGGUAGAUAAAAGCUAAUCAGGUUGGACACAGUCCAUGUCCCACAUGGGGCUCACAGUCUUACUCCCAGUUUUGUAGAUGAGGUCACUGAGGCACAGAGAAGUUAAGUGAUUUGCCCAAGGUCACACAGAAGAUAAGUGGCGGGGCUGGGAUUAGUCAGUUCCCUCUGACUCCCAGGCCCGUGCUCUAUCCUCUAGGCCACACUGCUUCUCUGUUCUCCCUUCUAGGUAGGCACACAGAUUGGGUUUGACCUGAUUAACAUAUCUUCACCAGCACUUAGUUCAGUGAUUGACACAUAUAGUAAGCACUUAGCAAAUAUUAUCACUAUUAUUAAGUAGUUUCCCAGGUUGAGAUGAAUGCCUCUGGGCAACGGAAAGGAGGUAACUAUCUCAGGAAGGGCAUUAGCCUGCAGAAUUAGUCCCAAAAGUGAGUCUGCCAGCCUUCUGAAUGAGAAGGACUCUUGAGAGGGCUUCUGGUCAUAACAGAGCCAGGGUCCCCUAGGGUAAAAAGAAAUUCCCCCC
Molecule: long non-coding RNA, 2426 nt
Filed under: Ornithorhynchus anatinus (platypus)
Lineage: Eukaryota; Metazoa; Chordata; Mammalia; Monotremata; Ornithorhynchidae
Description: lncRNA (ENSOANG00000047678.1)
Source: RNAcentral